GGAAUAUUGCGCAAUGGGCGAAAGCCUGACGCAGCGACGCCGCGUGAGGGAUGAAGGCCUUCGGGUUGUAAACCUCUUUCAGCAGGGAAGAAGCGAAAGUGACGGUACCUGCAGAAGAAGCACCGGCUAACUACGUGCCAGCAGCCGCGGUAAUACGUAGGGUGCAAGCGUUGUCCGGAAUUAUUGGGCGUAAAGAGCUCGUAGGCGGUUUGUCGCGUCUGCUGUGAAAACUCGGGGCUCAACUCCGAGCUUGCAGUGGGUACGGGCAGACUAGAGUGCGGUAGGGGAGACUGGAAUUCCUGGUGUAGCGGUGGAAUGCGCAGAUAUCAGGAGGAACACCGGUGGCGAAGGCGGGUCUCUGGGCCGUAACUGACGCUGAGGAGCGAAAGCAUGGGGAGCGAACAG
RNAcentral lists this ribosomal RNA (405 nucleotides) under Sphingomonas sp. sph1. Its description in RNAcentral is "bacterial SSU rRNA". It matches the Rfam family "Bacterial small subunit ribosomal RNA", at positions 358 to 775 of the family's 1533-position model. Lineage: Bacteria; Pseudomonadati; Pseudomonadota; Alphaproteobacteria; Sphingomonadales; Sphingomonadaceae. The record is from RNAcentral.